UGGAAGACUGGUGAUUUUGUUGUUGUGUUGGGAAACAACAGACCGCAGUCUUCCACU
RNAcentral lists this microRNA precursor (57 nucleotides) under Eptatretus burgeri (inshore hagfish). RNAcentral's name for it is "Ebu-Mir-7-P7_pre stem-loop". The record is from RNAcentral. Lineage: Eukaryota; Metazoa; Chordata; Myxini; Myxiniformes; Myxinidae.